GAUGAAGAACGCAGCGAAAUGCGAUAAGUAAUGUGAAUUGCAGAAUUCAGUGAAUCAUCGAAUCUUUGAACGCACAUUGCGCCCGCUAGUAUUCUGGCGGGCAUGCCUGUUCGAGCGUCAUUUCAACCAUCAAGCCCUUUAGCUUGUGAUGGGGACCUGCGGCUGCCGCAGCCCCCGAAAUGCAGUGGCGGGCUCGUUGUCACACCGAGUGCAGUAAUCAUUCUUCUCUCCGGGCGUGGCGGCGGGUUCCGGCCGUAAAAUCACCAAUUUAUCAAGGUUGACCUCGGAUCAGGUAGGAAUACCCGCUGAACUUAAGCAUAUCAAUAAGCGGAGGA
Molecule: unclassified non-coding RNA, 335 nt
Filed under: soil metagenome
Description: partial contains 5.8S ribosomal RNA, internal transcribed spacer 2, and large subunit ribosomal RNA
Rfam family: 5.8S ribosomal RNA (bases 1-120)
Source: RNAcentral